This is a long non-coding RNA of Cyprinus carpio carpio, 318 nucleotides long. The record is from Ensembl. Lineage: Eukaryota; Metazoa; Chordata; Actinopteri; Cypriniformes; Cyprinidae.
CUUGUUUCUGGCAAGACUAGGCCAUCAGCAGAUCGUUUUUGAAGCUCCCUGUGUUGCAUGCCUGGUCUCUCGUCGUUGUUUCUGCCUGUUUCUCAGCUACGCUGGAUCGCUUCUCUCCUGGGACCCCACCCACUAACCUCUCCACUGGAUCGCCCAUCUCAGUUCCUGCGUCACACUCUCCUGCUGUCCAAUUCCACCUCUACUUCCUGGCCACCCCUGACGUUAUCUCUCUGCAUCCAGUUGUCCUAUUGGUUUUCCUCUUAUCAUCUGUAUCACAAUUCACUGAAAUAUAUUUCACAUGCAUUUGCUUCCUCGCCC